RNAcentral lists this ribosomal RNA (254 nucleotides) under uncultured bacterium. RNAcentral describes it as "partial 16S ribosomal RNA". It matches the Rfam family "Bacterial small subunit ribosomal RNA", at positions 524 to 776 of the family's 1533-position model. The record is from RNAcentral.
UACGUAGGCAGCGAGCGUUGUUCGGAGUUACUGGGCGUAAAGGGUGUGUAGGCGGUUGUUUAAGUUUGGUGUGAAAUCUCCCGGCUCAACUGGGAGGGUGCGCCGAAUACUGAAUGACUUGGAGUGCGGGAGAGGUGAGUGGAAUUCCUGGUGUAGCGGUGAAAUGCGUAGAUAUCAGGAGGAACGCCGGUGGUGUAGACGGCUCACUGGACCGUAACUGACGCUGAGACACGAAAGCGUGGGUAGCAAACAGG